UCUCAGAGUUUGAUCCUGGCUCAGGAUGAACGCUGGCGGCGUGCUUAACACAUGCAAGUCGAACGGUGAAGCUCAGCUUGCUGGGUGGAUCAGUGGCGAACGGGUGAGUAACACGUGAGCAAUCUGCCCCUGACUCUGGGAUAAGCGCUGGAAACGGCGUCUAAUACUGGAUACGAACCGUGGAGGCAUCUUCAACGGUUGGAAAGAUUUUUUGGUCAGGGAUGAGCUCGCGGCCUAUCAGCUCGUUGGUGAGGUAAUGGCUCACCAAGGCGUCGACGGGUAGCCGGCCUGAGAGGGUGACCGGCCACACUGGGACUGAGACACGGCCCAGACUCCUACGUGAGGCAGCAGUGGGGAAUAUUGCACAAUGGGCGAAAGCCUGAUGCAGCAACGCCGCGUGAGGGAUGACGGCCUUCGGGUUGUAAACCUCUUUUAGCAGGGAAGAAGCGAAAGUGACGGUACCUGCAGAAAAAGCGCCGGCUAACUACGUGCCAGCAGCCGCGGUAAUACGUAGGGCGCAAGCGUUAUCCGGAAUUAUUGGGCGUAAAGAGCUCGUAGGCGGUUUGUCGCGUCUGCUGUGAAAUCCCGAGGCUCAACUUCGGGUCUGCAGUGGGUACGGGCAGACUAGAGUGCGGUAGGGAGAUUGGAAUUCCUGGUGUGGCGGUGGAAUGCGCAGAUAUCAGGAGGACACCGAUGGCGAAGGCAGAU
This 708-nucleotide ribosomal RNA is filed under the name uncultured bacterium. RNAcentral's name for it is "bacterial SSU rRNA". It matches the Rfam family "Bacterial small subunit ribosomal RNA", at positions 1 to 726 of the family's 1533-position model. The record is from RNAcentral.